Molecule: long non-coding RNA, 167 nt
Filed under: Gorilla gorilla gorilla (western lowland gorilla)
Lineage: Eukaryota; Metazoa; Chordata; Mammalia; Primates; Hominidae
Description: lncRNA (ENSGGOG00000044465.1)
Source: RNAcentral
UUGGACAAAAUAUCUGCUCGACACUAUUUCUGGAUUUCUGAUGCUGCUGAGAAUAGCUGCAAGGAUAAGAGGGACCUCUUAUUUUCUCCAGCUGGAACUGUGUCAGAGCUACAUGGGAGUCUGCAGUUGUUCACUGAGGAGCCAUAAUGGUUACAAAUACUCAACCA